AAACCGUUCAGGGGUAAACCUAAGAAACCCAAAAGAUCGAACGGGGAGAUUCAUCGUCAGCGACGCUGGCUUCACGUCGGUGGGCGAUGCCACGCGGGGGCCUCGCGGCCCUCAGCGCGGGCACGCUGCCGUGCGUCGAUGUCCGGCGUUCGUCGUCGUGCACUUCUCCCCUAGUAGAACGUCGCGACCCGCUGGGUGUCGGUCUACGGCCCGGGUGCGGUGGCUGACGCGUCGCCGGUAAAACGGCACGCGUCAAACCCCCGGUCGCCCGGCCGGCUGCCCGGCGGUACACGUUGAGGUAUCAGGCCGCAUCUCUCUCACGCGCCACGUGCGCGCGGAGUAUGCGUCGGGGCCGUCGCAAGCGCGCGCCACGGUACACGGCGGUUAACGGACCUAGUGCCGUCACCGGUCCUGGCCCGCUGUUGGUCGUACGGUUUCCCCUCCGACAGGCCUGCGAACGUCCCUCGCGCGCGCCCGGCUCCACCAGGGGACGGCGCGCGCGCGCGGGGACCGAUACCGGUCGGCGACGCUACUGCUUUGGGUACUCUUAGGA
RNAcentral lists this ribosomal RNA (553 nucleotides) under Rogeria stigmatica. RNAcentral describes it as "eukaryotic LSU rRNA". Lineage: Eukaryota; Metazoa; Arthropoda; Insecta; Hymenoptera; Formicidae. The record is from RNAcentral.